This 326-nucleotide long non-coding RNA is filed under the name Zonotrichia albicollis (white-throated sparrow). Its description in RNAcentral is "lncRNA (ENSZALG00000007879.1)". The record is from RNAcentral. Lineage: Eukaryota; Metazoa; Chordata; Aves; Passeriformes; Passerellidae.
UGCAACAGGCCCUGCUGAAUGUUGUCUCCAUUCCUUUUACUCCACCUGUAGGAACUGUAAGGCUGCCAUGAACCUUCUUUUCACCAGGCUGCCCAAGUGAAGUUCUCUCAGCCCAGGAGAGGUGUUCCAGCCUUCUGAGCACCUUCCUCUGGACAGGCUCCAACAGAUCCGUGUCUUUUCUCUACAUUCCUACCUAUUGGUCAACCGGUCAAAUGCAGCAGAUGCCAGUAAAGACCACUCACAAAGCCUGGAGGCUGAGGACGGUGCUCACAGAAACAUGGAAUCCUCAGCAACGAACUCCAAGUCUGAUCUACUGUAAAGACUGA